AGGAGCUGGAUUCAUUUUUACAUUACAUGCUUCAUGCAGUACUACUUGAAAAUGGGGUCAGUUUCAGAAAAUAUGACAGAAAGUUGGUUAUAUAAGUCUUACCUACUGCAUCUUUAAUUGUCACACUUUAGUGAA
Long non-coding RNA from Etheostoma cragini (Arkansas darter), 135 nucleotides. RefSeq lists it as uncharacterized. The record is from RefSeq and is a predicted model, not a curated record. The transcript has 3 exons. Lineage: Eukaryota; Metazoa; Chordata; Actinopteri; Perciformes; Percidae.